Molecule: ribosomal RNA, 497 nt
Filed under: uncultured bacterium
Lineage: Bacteria
Description: partial 16S ribosomal RNA
Rfam family: Bacterial small subunit ribosomal RNA
Source: RNAcentral
GAUGAACGCUGGCGGCGUGCCUAAUACAUGCAAGUCGAGCGAACAGACGAGGAGCUUGCUCCUCUGACGUUAGCGGCGGACGGGUGAGUAACACGUGGAUAACCUACCUAUAAGACUGGGAUAACUUCGGGAAACCGGAGCUAAUACCGGAUAAUAUAUUGAACCGCAUGGUUCAAUAGUGAAAGACGGUUUUGCUGUCACUUAUAGAUGGAUCCGCGCCGCAUUAGCUAGUUGGUAAGGUAACGGCUUACCAAGGCAACGAUGCGUAGCCGACCUGAGAGGGUGAUCGGCCACACUGGAACUGAGACACGGUCCAGACUCCUACGGGAGGCAGCAGUAGGGAAUCUUCCGCAAAGGGCGAAAGCCUGACGGAGCAACGCCGCGUGAGUGAUGAAGGUCUUCGGAUCGUAAAACUCCGUUAUUAGGGAAGAACAAAUGUGUAAGUAACUAUGCACGUCUUGACGGUACCUAAUCAGAAAGCCACGGCUAACUACGUG